GCAUUGGUGGUUCAGUGGUAGAAUUCUCACCUUCGUGCCAGAGGCCCGGGUUCAAUUCCUGACCAAUGCA
This 70-nucleotide transfer RNA is filed under the name Loxodonta africana (African savanna elephant). It matches the Rfam family "tRNA". Rfam says of the family: Transfer RNA (tRNA) molecules are approximately 80 nucleotides in length. The record is from Rfam by way of RNAcentral. Lineage: Eukaryota; Metazoa; Chordata; Mammalia; Proboscidea; Elephantidae.